CAGUAGCCGCGGUAAUACAGAGGAUGCAAGCGUUAUCCGGAAUGAUUGGGCGUAAAGGGCUCGCAGGCGGUUUCUUAAGUCUGAUGUGAAAGCCCCCGGCUCAACCGGGGAGGGUCAUUGGAAACUGGGAAACUUGAGUGCAGAAGAGGAGAGUGGAAUUCCACGUGUAGCGGUGAAAUGCGUAGAGAUGUGGAGGAACACCAGUGGCGAAGGCGACUCUCUGGUCUGUAACUGACGCUGAGGAGCGAAAGCGUGGGGAGCGAACAGGAUUAGAUACCCCUGUAGUCCCUGUCUCUUAUAC
This 301-nucleotide ribosomal RNA is filed under the name uncultured bacterium. Its description in RNAcentral is "partial 16S ribosomal RNA". It matches the Rfam family "Bacterial small subunit ribosomal RNA", at positions 509 to 807 of the family's 1533-position model. The record is from RNAcentral.